Molecule: long non-coding RNA, 736 nt
Organism: Esox lucius (northern pike)
Lineage: Eukaryota; Metazoa; Chordata; Actinopteri; Esociformes; Esocidae
Source: Ensembl
GUGAGUGUCAUCAUGAAUAACAGGAAGGGUGGCAGUGACAUUCAUCAGUUUAUUGGGCAGCCUCAGAAAAGUUGACAGCAGUGAGAAAAUGAGUACCAGUCACACGAUAAGUAUGCAGUAGUACAAGAGAGUAAAGGGAGAGAGGGUGUAAGGAUGCCAACAGAGCAGGGAGAGCAGGUGACAUGGAGGCUCCCCCACAGGCUGCCAGCUCCACUGGUACAACAGACCUGCAGUCAUGAACCUGGAGUGAAUCAGCAGGUCCACUCAGCCAGAGAAGUACCAAAACGUCCCAGUAUUUACUUACAGGGAUGCAGUCCUCGGGUCGGAAAUCUGGGCAUCGUAUUUUGUAAUCCACCGGGAUGAACCGAUUGUUUUUAUUUGUACAUUGAUACUUCACACAAUGAUCAACAGGGUGUGACCAAACUUGCCCAGGCUGUCAAGUAGAAAUAAUUUUCUCAGGGUUAGUUGUAUUGAAUAUAGGCACAAUAUAUUGAAUAAAAUACAAUUAACACACAACUUAUAAACGAUCAAUAAAUAAGUACUUUCCAAAAAAAGUUUACGAUUUUAAGACAUUUUAUAUCACAGUGAAUAGAAAAGCCUCGGGCCACAGUAGCUCCAACCCUCUAACUAACUGGGUGUCAUGCCUGCCCUGUUAGCCCUCCUGCGCUAUCAUUCGAUGUGACAAGCUGCCACUGACCAAACACCCUUUUCCCAGCCCAUGCCCUGUUUUCCCCAG